RNAcentral lists this ribosomal RNA (355 nucleotides) under uncultured bacterium. RNAcentral describes it as "bacterial SSU rRNA". It matches the Rfam family "Bacterial small subunit ribosomal RNA", at positions 29 to 412 of the family's 1533-position model. The record is from RNAcentral.
AGCGAACGCUGGCGGCAGGCUUAACACAUGCAAGUCGAGCGGGCGUAGCAAUACGUCAGCGGCAGACGGGUGAGUAACGCGUGGGAACAUACCUUUGGUUCGGAACAACACAGGGAAACUUGUGCUAAUACCGGAUAAGCCCUUACGGGGAAGAUUUAUCGCCGAAAGAUUGGCCCGCGUCUGAUUAGCUAGUUGGUGAGGUAACGGCUCACCAAGGCGACGAUCAGUAGCUGGCUGAGAGGAUGAUCAGCCACAUUGGGACUGAGACACGGCCCAAACUCCUACGGGAGGCAGCAGUGGGGAAUAUUGGACAAUGGGCGAAAGCCUGAUCCAGCCAUGCCGCGUGAGUGAUGAA